Molecule: long non-coding RNA, 424 nt
Organism: Centruroides sculpturatus (bark scorpion)
Lineage: Eukaryota; Metazoa; Arthropoda; Arachnida; Scorpiones; Buthidae
Exons: 3
Source: RefSeq, a predicted model, not a curated record
UAAUGAUUAUAUAUUCUGUAUUCGUUUCCUUAACUAUUUUUCACUCCUUUUGAAUAUACGGUCUUAUUAACUAUUAUUGCCAAUUGUGUAGUUUUGGCUUUAGAAGAACAUUUACCAAAAAAGGAUAAGACAACAUUAUCAGAAAAAUUAGAUGAAACAGAACCAUACUUUAUAGCCAUAUUUUCUGUAGAAGCUACUUUAAAAAUUCUAGCUCUUGGGUUUGUGUUACAUCGUGGAGCAUAUCUUCGUAAUAUUUGGAACAUGAUGGAUUUUGUGGUUGUUGUCACGGGGUAUGUAACAAUGUUUGUUCAGGACGCCCAUAUGUCAAUAGAUUUGAGAACCUUACGUGCCAUACGUGUUCUACGACCUUUGAAAUUAGUAUCCGGAAUUCCAAGUAAGUCUGCCUGUAUUGCUGCUUCUCAAA